CAUGUGGGUCCCAAUGGCUGGUCCUCGUUCCCACUGCUCCUGGCACAAAGAUGUGGCUUCUCCAUGCUCACCGGCCCUUCUACCCUUGCCACGCUGUCCUGUCUAUUCUGUACCUUAUUAGCUGUGUGAUCUCAGCCUUUGGAUAUUGUGGUGCUAGGAUGUGACAUCUGGAGCUGCAGCAGCCAUUUUGAGACCACAAAGAAUCUGUGAGAAGCUGACCAUUAUCCUAAUACUGAAAAGCUGAAAUAUCCAACCCUGAAACAUCAUACCUAUCAGUUUAUUGUUACCUGAGACAAUAAAUGCUCUAGUCAUUUAAGGCCCUCUUGACUUGGUAUGCAGGUACCUGCAGCCCAAAUCACCCUAAUGAAUCUACCUCUAGUACAGGAUCCAGUUUAGGGUCAAGAAUUGCACUUCGUUGUCAUGUCUCUUCAAUUAUGCACUUUCUACCUGGCCUCCAAUCUUGAUUCUAAUAGAACCUGGCCAUGUGAUUCUAAGCACAUUAUAUCCCCUCUUUGGGCCUCAGUUUCCCCUCUGUAACAAAAAAAGUGUUAGAUUAAAUAAUGAUCAAAACCCCUUCCUAGGAUUUUGCUGUCAUUUUCCAUAUGACACCAACUCUCUAAAUUCUUUCCUUAUUUUCUUCUAAAAGGAAAAAAAUGU
Lemur catta (Ring-tailed lemur) is the source of this 657-nucleotide long non-coding RNA. RefSeq lists it as uncharacterized. NCBI's taxonomy places the organism in Eukaryota, Metazoa, Chordata, Mammalia, Primates, Lemuridae. The record is from RefSeq and is a predicted model, not a curated record. The transcript is spliced from 4 exons.